Molecule: non-coding RNA, 31 nt
Filed under: Mus musculus (house mouse)
Lineage: Eukaryota; Metazoa; Chordata; Mammalia; Rodentia; Muridae
Source: RNAcentral
UUAUUAAAGGAAUUUAGAAAUGGGCUCAAAA